This 250-nucleotide non-coding RNA is filed under the name Lachnospiraceae bacterium. Its description in RNAcentral is "T-box sequence". It matches the Rfam family "T-box leader". Rfam says of the family: Uncharged tRNA acts as the effector for transcription antitermination of genes in the T-box leader family. T-boxes are found upstream of many aminoacyl-tRNA synthetase genes and some amino acid biosynthetic genes usually in Gram-positive bacteria. The record is from RNAcentral. Lineage: Bacteria; Bacillati; Bacillota; Clostridia; Lachnospirales; Lachnospiraceae.
GUAAAGGCAUUGAAGAAGAGGAGUAUGCAUAAGUUCGUUUUCGAAAGAGAGAGUGGCCCGGAGGCUGAAAGGCGCUUGAUGACAGAGAUGCAGAAGGUAGCUUUCGAGCCGGACUGUUGAACAUCCAUACGGGCGCCCGAAUGGUGCUAGAUGGUCCCGGAGUCGUUCCCGUUAAAGAAUAAGAUGAGAUGUAUAGAGGAAGUUUUUUCUAUAUAAUAAAGGUGGUACCGCGACUACAAUCGCCCUUUAC